GUAACCUGCCCUUGACUCUGGGAUAAGCCUGGGAAACCGGGUCUAAUACCGGAUAUGACCUGUCACCGCAUGGUGGCGGGUGGAAAGAUUUUUUGGUCUUGGAUGGACUCGCGGCCUAUCAGCUUGUUGGUGGGGUAAUGGCCUACCAAGGCGACGACGGGUAGCCGGCCUGAGAGGGUGACCGGCCACACUGGGACUGAGACACGGCCCAGACUCCUACGGGAGGCAGCAGUGGGGAAUAUUGCACAAUGGGCGCAAGCCUGAUGCAGCGACGCCGCGUGAGGGAUGAAUGCCUUCGGGUUGUAAACCUCUUUCAGCAGGGAAGAAGCGAAAGUGACGGUACCUGCAGAAGAAGCGCCGGCUAACUACGUGCCAGCAGCCGCGGUAAUACGUAGGGCGCAAGCGUUGUCCGGAAUUAUUGGGCGUAAAGAGCUCGUAGGCGGUUUGUCGCGUCUGCUGUGAAAGCCCGGGGCUCAACCCCGGGUCUGCAGUGGGUACGGGCAGACUAGAGUGCAGUAGGGGAGACUGGAAUUCCUGGUGUAGCGGUGAAAUGCGCAGAUAUCAGGAGGAACA
RNAcentral lists this ribosomal RNA (573 nucleotides) under Arthrobacter sp. Its description in RNAcentral is "bacterial SSU rRNA". It matches the Rfam family "Bacterial small subunit ribosomal RNA", at positions 121 to 708 of the family's 1533-position model. Lineage: Bacteria; Bacillati; Actinomycetota; Actinomycetes; Micrococcales; Micrococcaceae. The record is from RNAcentral.